RNAcentral lists this ribosomal RNA (252 nucleotides) under uncultured bacterium. RNAcentral's name for it is "partial 16S ribosomal RNA". It matches the Rfam family "Bacterial small subunit ribosomal RNA", at positions 524 to 776 of the family's 1533-position model. The record is from RNAcentral.
AACGUAGGAGACAAACGUUAUCCGGAGUUACUGGGCGUAAGGGCGUGCAGGUGGUCUGUUAAGUCUGGCGUGAAAGCUCUCGGCUAAACCGGGAGAGGUCGUUGGAUACUGGCGGACUAGAGGACGGUAGAGGCGUGUGGAAUUCCGGGUGUAGUGGUGAAAUGCGUAGAGAUCCGGAGGAACACCAGUGGCGAAGGCGACACGCUGGGCCGUACCUGACACUAAAACGCGACAGCAUGGGGAGCGAACGGG